This 253-nucleotide ribosomal RNA is filed under the name uncultured bacterium. RNAcentral's name for it is "partial 16S ribosomal RNA". It matches the Rfam family "Bacterial small subunit ribosomal RNA", at positions 524 to 776 of the family's 1533-position model. The record is from RNAcentral.
UACGUAGGUGGCAAGCGUUGUCCGGAUUUACUGGGCGUAAAGGGCGUGCAGGCGGUCUGUUAAGUGCAGGGUGAAAGCUCCCGGCUCAACUGGGAGAGGUCCUUGCAUACUGGCGGACUUGAGGGGGGUAGAGGAAAGUGGAAUUCCCGGUGUAGUGGUGAUAUGCGUAGAUAUCGGGAGGAACACCUGUGGCGAAGGCGGCUUUCUGGGCCCUACCUGACGCUGAGACGCGAAAGCGUGGGGAGCAAACAGG